GACGAACGCUGGCGGCGUGCCUAAUACAUGCAAGUCGAGCGAAGUUUUUCUGGUGCUUGCACUAGAAAAACUUAGCGGCGAACGGGUGAGUAACACUUAAAGAACCUGCCUCAUAGGCUGGGACAACUAUUGGAAACGAUAGCUAAUACCGGAUAACAGUAUUUCUCGCAUGAGAGAUAUUUAAAAGUUGGUUAUGCUAACACUAUGAGAUGGCUUUGCGGUGCAUUAGCUAGUUGGUGGGGUAAAGGCCCACCAAGGCGACGAUGCAUAGCCGACCUGAGAGGGUGAUCGGCCACACUGGGACUGAGACACGGCCCAGACUCCUACGGGAGGCAGCAGUAGGGAAUCUUCCGCAAUGGGCGAAAGCCUGACGGAGCAACGCCGCGUGAGUGAAGAAGGAUUUCGGUUCGUAAAGCUCUGUUGUUAGGGAAGAAUGGAUAUGUAGUAACUAUACAUGUAAGAGACGGUACCUAACCAGAAAGCCACGGCUAACUACGUG
RNAcentral lists this ribosomal RNA (499 nucleotides) under uncultured bacterium. RNAcentral's name for it is "partial 16S ribosomal RNA". It matches the Rfam family "Bacterial small subunit ribosomal RNA", at positions 28 to 507 of the family's 1533-position model. The record is from RNAcentral.